This 382-nucleotide ribosomal RNA is filed under the name uncultured bacterium. RNAcentral describes it as "bacterial SSU rRNA". It matches the Rfam family "Bacterial small subunit ribosomal RNA", at positions 28 to 412 of the family's 1533-position model. The record is from RNAcentral.
GACGAACGCUGGCGGCGUGCUUAACACAUGCAAGUCGAGCGGUAAGGCUCCUUCGGGAGUACACGAGCGGCGAACGGGUGAGUAACACGUGAGCAAUCUGCCCUUCACUUCGGGAUAACUCCGGGAAACCGGUGCUAAUACCGAAUACGACCACUUCAGGCAUCUGAUGGUGGUGGAAAGUUCCGGCGGUGAAGGAUGAGCUCGCGGCCUAUCAGCUUGUUGGUGGGGUAAGGCCCACCAAGGCAACGACGGGUAGCCGGCCUGAGAGGGUGACCGGCCACACUGGGACUGAGACACGGCCCAGACUCCUACGGGAGGCAGCAGUGGGGAAUAUUGGACAAUGGGCGAAAGCCUGAUCCAGCAACGCCGCGUGAGGGAUGAC